UGACCCACAUGGUGCUUUGGCAUCAGUUUCAGGCUCUGUCCUUUUCACAUUAGAAGCAUGAGUCUCAAUCUGAGCAUGUUGUUCAUUAUAGCUCUCCUCUGUCUCCUGAUCUGAAUCCUCACUUGUAUCUGACCAGAAAAAAAAGUCAAUGAUCGGUAUGACGCCUGUCCAUUGCUGCAUUUCACCCUGUGUCUUAUUGUCAUCACCCUCUUCUUCAGUUGAAUGUAUCUGCUUCUUGUCCCUGCAUUGACUGUCAACAGUCACCUUCCCCCCAGAGUCCUUAGGGACCUCUGUCUCCUGAUCAUUUGUACGUGACAUGGUAAAGCAGUGAGCGAUUGUUAUGCAUCUUGUACCUUGCUGCAAUCCUUUCUCUCUCUGACAACUGGAGCAUAGGCCCAUUUCAAACCCAUUGUCAGUUUCAAUACCACAAGGACAGUAGCAGGACUUAUCUAAGCUGCCACUUUCUAUAUUCUCUAGUUGCUUUGUCUGUGUUUUAUCUUUGUUUUUAGAGCAGGAUUUAGGGGACGCGAAUUGGAGGUCAGAAUCAUUCUCGAUCUGGCAAAACAGUCUCAUGGCAUCCUCAGAUGUCAGGAUGGUCAAAUUCAUUGGGGAAAGGGGUUCUGUGUCCGAGUCUGUUGUGAGGUCUACGACCGUUUUGAGGUCUGUGUCUGGUGCCUCUGUUUCAGCAAGCAGUUUCACAGCAUCCUCUGGUGUGAGGACGGUCAAAAUCAUUGGGGAAAGGGGUUCUGUCUCCAAGUCUGCGUUUGUUGGGAGGUCUGUGUUUGUUGGGGGGUCUACGUCCAUCGUGAGGUCUGUAUUUGUUGGGGGCUCUGUGUCCAUCGUGAGGUCUGAGUCUGUUGCUUCUGCAGGAAAUUCCACAGUCUCUAUCUUGCUGUGGAAGGUCUCAUCCAUCUGGACACCCCCAACCACUUUGGAACUGUCCUCUGCUUUAUCUGGUAUGAACCACAGAGACCAAGCUCUUCCAGAAUCUUUGUCAAUGUCAUUCAGCUUCUCGUUGACAUUUAACCAUGAUGACCUAUAACCCACUUGGGAAGAGGUGUCAACAUGUACUGGAAUGGGAAACUUCUCGAGCACUUCCCCUAGUGAUAUACCACUGACUGCAAAGAGAACCACUGCCUUCUCAUCCUCUGCGGCCCAGGCAGACACAUCCUGCAUGAUUUUCUCAUCCAUUUGAUCUUUUAAAGCUUCUAACAGGUUAGUAGUAUCCCCUCCCCAAUACAACUCCAAUAUGGCCUCGAGACAACCAUCCUUUGCCUCUGUGACUGUUGUCGCACUCUCCAGAUAAGUAACCAGUCUCUGCAGCGCACAUAACUUGAACUGAACUUCAGCAAUUGUGAACAAAUCAAGAGUGCUCUCAUCUGCAACAUUAGAGCUACCUUCCACGAUUAUCUGGGCACCACCGAUGCAUACAAUAUCAGUUGCCUGAGGGUUGGUGUGGACAAAUGGUGAAGGUGAACUCUUGUCCAUUUGUGUGAUGACCUGAAGGACCUCAUCAUUGUCCUCUCCUGUAGAUGCCAUUGAACUUGUUGCAGAUGCAUCUACAGGUUUAUCACACUCCAGAAGACACUCAACUUGAACCAUCUCAUUUAGGACAGAGAGAGAGCUUGCAUCAUCUUUAGCUCUUUCCCACAGGUUUAUCACACUCCAGAAGACACUCAACUUGAACCAUCUCAUUUAGGACAGAGAGAGAACUUGCAUCAUCUUUAGCUCUUUCCCACAGGUUUUCUGCCUGUUUUUCGUUGAUGGACCAGGUCUGUAAAAUCUUAAAUGGCAGCUCAUUGCCUGCAUUCUC
This is a long non-coding RNA of Oncorhynchus tshawytscha (Chinook salmon), 1813 nucleotides long. NCBI's taxonomy places the organism in Eukaryota, Metazoa, Chordata, Actinopteri, Salmoniformes, Salmonidae. The record is from Ensembl.